GAUCCUGGCUCAGGACGAACGCUGGCGGCGUGCCUAACACAUGCAAGUCGAACGGAGAAUUUUAUUUCGGUAGAAUUCUUAGUGGCGAACGGGUGAGUAACGCGUAGGCAACCUACCCUUUAGACGGGGACAACAUUCCGAAAGGAGUGCUAAUACCGGAUGUGAUCAUCGUGCCGCAUGGCAGGAUGAAGAAAGAUGGCCUCUACAAAGUAAGCUAUCGCUAAAGGAUGGGCCUGCGU
This 239-nucleotide ribosomal RNA is filed under the name uncultured bacterium. RNAcentral's name for it is "partial 16S ribosomal RNA". It matches the Rfam family "Bacterial small subunit ribosomal RNA", at positions 15 to 236 of the family's 1533-position model. The record is from RNAcentral.